AGAGUUUGAUCCUGGCUCAGGAUGAACGUUGGCGGCGUGCCUAACACAUGCAAGUCGAACGAAAGUAGCAAUACUUUAGUGGCGCACGGGUGAGUAACACGUAGCUUACCUCCCUCUCAGCGCGGGAUAACGGCUCGAAAGAGCUGCUAAUACCGCAUAAGCUCACGGGUUACAGAGACUUGUGAGAAAAGGCUUAGGUCACUUUGAGGUGAGGCUGCGGCCCAUCAGCUAGUUGGUAAGGUAAAAGCUUACCAAGGCGAAGACGGGUAGGGGACCUGAGAGGGUGACCCCCCACACUGGGACUGAGACACGGCCCAGACUCCUACGGGAGGCAGCAGUGAGGGAUAUUGCACAAUGGGCGCAAGCCUGAUGCAGCAACGCCGCGUGGGUGAAGAAGGCCUUCGGGUCGUAAAGCCCUUUUCUGGGUGACGAGAGAGGACGGUAGCCCAGGAAUAAGUCUCGGCUAACUACGUGCCAGCAGCCGCGGUAAAACGUAGGAGGCGAACGUUAUCCGGAGUUACUGGGCGUAAAGCGCGUGUAGGCGGCGUGACAAGUCCGGCGUGAAAGCCCCCGGCUAAACUGGGGGAGGCCGUCGGAGACUGUUGUGCUAGAGUAUGGCAGAGGGACAUGGAAUUCCGGGUGUAGUGGUGAAAUGCGUAGAUAUCCGGAGGAACACCAGUGGCGAAGGCGACCACGCUGGGGCCAUACCUGACGCUUAAAGCGCGACAGCAUGGGGAGCAAACGGGAUUAGAAACCCGGUUGUCCACUGCCCGUAAACGAUGCAGCUAGAUUUCAGGAAUCGCAAGAAGCCGGGGUCUCGAAAGCACAACGCGAUAAGUGUGCCGCCUGGGGAGUGCGGUCGCAAGGCUAAAACUCAAAGGAAUUGACGGGGGCCCGCACAAGCAGCGGAGCGUGUGGUUUAAUUCGAGGCUACGCGAAGAACCUUACCUGGACUUGACAUGCUGGUGGUAGGGAAGCGAAAGCGGACCGACCUACGGGAGCCAGCACAGGUGCUGCAUGGCUGUCGUCAGCUCGUGCCGUGAGGUGUUCGGUUAAGUCCGCAAACGAGCGCAACCCUUGGGUCUAGUUAUACGUGUCUAGACCGACUGCCCGCGAGAAGCGGGAGGAAGGUGGGGAUGACGUCAAGUCAGCAUGGCCUUUAUGUCCAGGGCUACACACACGCUACAAUGGGCAGUACAAUGGGUCGCAAAGCCGCGAGGUGGAGCCAAUCCCCCAAAGCUGUUCGUAGUUCGGAUUGUAGGCUGCAACUCGCCUGCAUGAAGUCGGAGUUGCUAGUAAACGCAGGUCAGCUACACUGCGUUGAAUACGUUCCCGGGCCUUGUACACACCGCCCGUCACGUCAUGGAAGCUGGUCAUGCCUGAAGUCGGGGAGCUAACCGCAAGGAGGCAACCGCCGAAGGCGGGGCUGGUGACUGGGACGAAGUCGUAACAAGGUAGCUGUAGCGGAAGCUGCGGCUGGAUCACCUCCUU
RNAcentral lists this ribosomal RNA (1491 nucleotides) under uncultured prokaryote. RNAcentral's name for it is "partial 16S ribosomal RNA". It matches the Rfam family "Bacterial small subunit ribosomal RNA". The record is from RNAcentral.